This 253-nucleotide ribosomal RNA is filed under the name uncultured bacterium. RNAcentral's name for it is "partial 16S ribosomal RNA". It matches the Rfam family "Bacterial small subunit ribosomal RNA", at positions 524 to 776 of the family's 1533-position model. The record is from RNAcentral.
UACGUAGGAGGCAAGCGUUGUCCGGAUUUACUGGGCGUAAAGAGCGUGUAGGCGGUUCGUACAGUCCGCUGUGAAAUCUCCAGGCUCAACCUGGAGUAGUCGGUGGAAACUAGGCGACUUGAAUCUGGCAGAGGGGGGUGGAAUGCCACGUGUAGCAGUGAAAUGCGUAGAGAUGUGGCGGAACACCGAUGGCGAAGGCAGCCCCCUGGGUUGAGAUUGACGCUCAGGCACGAAAGCGUGGGGAGCAAACAGG